GCAAGAUUGGGGCCAGCGGCCGCGGGAAGAGGGAGGGGGCUGUGGUUGUUCGGAAUCACGGGGCGUAAAGCGCGCGUAGGCGGCUUUUCAAGGCAGGGGUGAAAUGCCAAGGCUUAACCUUGGAACGGCCUUUGAAACUGUAAAGCUGGAGUGUCGGAGGGGAUAGCGGAAUUCCUAAUGUAGUGGUGAAAUACGUAGAUAUUAGGAGGAACACCGGUGGCGAAGGCGGCUAUCUGGACGACAACUGACGCUGAGGCGCGAAAGCGCGGGGAUCAAACAGGAUUAGAUACCCCAGUAGUC
Molecule: ribosomal RNA, 300 nt
Filed under: uncultured Haloterrigena sp.
Lineage: Archaea; Methanobacteriati; Methanobacteriota; Halobacteria; Halobacteriales; Natrialbaceae
Description: bacterial SSU rRNA
Rfam family: Bacterial small subunit ribosomal RNA
Source: RNAcentral